ACCGGUGUGCGGUGCCUGCCUGAACGUUGGUGUCUGUGUAUGCGUGUCUUUGCGGCAUCACACGUCAACUACACUGAACGCAUACACCUGCAGCACCUUUGGAACUAAUGACACAAAGGUCAAGGCCAGCCUGGCGACCAUGCUUGCCAAGGAGUAGUAAGGUGCACUAUACGAAUACAACGAUCAGUUCUGCGGAAUACCCAAUAUGCUCUGUCAUAUGGCUUGGGAGUGCAAUGGUGUCACUGAGGUGCCAGCUGACCAGUGACGACUGGCGGACCGAACGAGGCGGACAGCCGAGGGCCAUAGCAUCCCGUACUAAGGAAGCUACCCAUCUGAGGCUGUCAUAUGCA
Molecule: long non-coding RNA, 350 nt
Organism: Dermacentor albipictus
Lineage: Eukaryota; Metazoa; Arthropoda; Arachnida; Ixodida; Ixodidae
Source: RefSeq, a predicted model, not a curated record